Molecule: ribosomal RNA, 466 nt
Filed under: uncultured bacterium
Lineage: Bacteria
Description: partial 16S ribosomal RNA
Rfam family: Bacterial small subunit ribosomal RNA
Source: RNAcentral
CCUACGGGAGGCAGCAGUGGGGAAUAUUGCGCAAUGGGCGAAAGCCUGACGCAGCGACGCCGCGUGAGGGAUGAAGGUUCUCGGAUCGUAAACCUCUGUCAGAAGGGAAGAAAUUAUAUCAUGCUAAUCAGUGGUGUAUUGACGGUACCUUCAAAGGAAGCACCGGCUAACUCCGUGCCAGCAGCCGCGGUAAUACGGGGGAUGCAAGCGUUAUCCGGAUUUAUUGGGUUUAAAGGGUGCGUAGGCUGUGAGGUAAGUCAGCGGUGAAAUGCCCCCGCUCAACGGGGUGAAGUGCCAUUGAUACUGCCUUGCUGGAAUGCGGAUGCCGUGGGAGGAAUGUGUGGUGUAGCGGUGAAAUGCAUAGAUAUCACACAGAACACCGAUUGCGAAGGCAUCUCACGAAUCCGCGAUUGACGCUGAUGCACGAAAGCGUGGGUAUCAAACAGGAUUAGAUACCCCUGUAGUC